UACGUAGGAAGCAAGCGUUGUCCGGAAUCACUGGGCGUAAAGCGCGUGUAGGCGGUAUGGCAAGUCUGCUGUGAAAGCCCCGGGCUCAACCUGGGAGGUGCGCUUGAUACUCGAGGGCUUGAGUGCGGGAGAGGAGAGUGGAAUUCCCAGUGUAGAGGUGAAAUUCGUAGAUAUUGGGAAGAACACCGGUGGCGAAGGCGGCUCUCUGGACCGUAACUGACGCUGAGGCGCGAAAGCGUGGGGAGCAAACAGG
Molecule: ribosomal RNA, 253 nt
Filed under: uncultured bacterium
Lineage: Bacteria
Description: partial 16S ribosomal RNA
Rfam family: Bacterial small subunit ribosomal RNA
Source: RNAcentral